AUUGAACGCUGGCGGCAUGCUUUACACAUGCAAGUCGAACGGCCGCGCGGGCCUCGGCCUGGCGGCGAGUGGCGAACGGGUGAGUAAUUAAUCGGAACGUGCCCAGUAGUGGGGGAUAGCUCGGCGAAAGGCGGAUUAAUACCGCACCCGACCUGAGGGUGAAAGCGGGGGAUCUUAGGUCCUCGCGCGUUUGGCUGGGCCGUUGGCAGAUUUGCUCGUUGGUGGGGUAAAGGCCUACCAAGGCGACGAGCUGUAGCUGGUCUGAGAGGACGACCAGCCAAACUGGGACUGAGACACGGCCCAGACUCCUACGGGAGGCAGCAGUGGGGAAUUUUGGACAAUGGGCGAAAGCCUGAUCCAGCAAUGCCGCGUGUGUGAUGAAGGCCUUCGGGUUGUAAAGCACUUUUGGCGGGAACGAAAAGGACUGUGCCAAUACCACGGUUCGAUGACGGUACCCGCAGAAUAAGCACCGGCUAACUACGUG
Molecule: ribosomal RNA, 484 nt
Filed under: uncultured bacterium
Lineage: Bacteria
Description: partial 16S ribosomal RNA
Rfam family: Bacterial small subunit ribosomal RNA
Source: RNAcentral